Molecule: long non-coding RNA, 836 nt
Organism: Syngnathus acus (greater pipefish)
Lineage: Eukaryota; Metazoa; Chordata; Actinopteri; Syngnathiformes; Syngnathidae
Exons: 4
Source: RefSeq, a predicted model, not a curated record
GCCUUCGGAAAGUACUUCCGGGUUACUUGACACAGGUAAAAACAUUGCGAGCAUAGUUGGGAAAACGUAAGUAUAGUUGCGAAAACGUGAUAAGUAUAGACAUAAACUCCGUACGUAUUCUCGCUGCAUGUCCUUUGUUCCCCGCAACCUUUAAGCCGACACUUGCAUUGUAUUAAGUGUCCAAUCACCUUAGCCGUUAGCUUUAGCAUACGUACCUCAGCAAAGAUGGCGCCACCAGGAGAAAAUGCCCCAAUGUCUAAGUCCAUGCAGACUUUCAAGAGCUGCUGGAGCUGUCGACUCAUCUGCGGCAGUGGUCUCAUCCUAUCCGGAGCCUAUGUUUUUAACGCCGCCCGCAACGCGAUGCGCCUCGGCGGGCCGACCUCUAUGGGAACGGUCGCCCAGAUUACUUUCGCUGCAAGUUUGGCCGCGUGGGGAAUGGUUGUCAUCGUUGACCCUGUGGGAAAAGCGCAAAGGAAGACGUGAGAAGAGAGGAAGCUUGAAUGGUCUCAUUGCACUACAUCGGCCUGUGCUACUGGUCACCGGACAGAUUAUAUUGUCAGCAACACAUUGCAGGCAAUCAAUGUCAUUUCAUGAACUAUUAAAAUACAUCAUACACAGUGCUGUCAGUUAGUCAGAGUUACCUUUUAUUAGUGUUAUACUGAUGUGAGCAGUUGCUCUCAAAGGUUUGUCGGUAAGCGUGAUGCAAAAAAAAAAAUAAGUCUUUCAGUCGCUUAACGUGAUCAUGACAUUCUGAUUGUUUUAUAGAUUAAAGUAAAAUAUGAAAAUAGAGUUGACAGUACAUGUAGGCACACUAUUGACAAAAUGUACACAAAUGC